Molecule: non-coding RNA, 515 nt
Organism: Drosophila melanogaster (fruit fly)
Lineage: Eukaryota; Metazoa; Arthropoda; Insecta; Diptera; Drosophilidae
Source: Ensembl
AUGAUCGGAUCCCCGCAGUCAUGAUCGCUUGCCUGGUUCUUCGGUCGGUCCGGUUCGGUUGGAGCGGUUUGUUCGGUCAGUGGAAAUCCGAAAUCGGUGGAAACCCACCAGACGGGCCCCACAACUUACUACAAGAAUUUUGAAAUCAAAACAAAAACGUAAAAGAUCAACGCACAAAAAGAGCGCGCCACUGAAUUUUGGCGGGAGACUACUGUACCGCUGGAUCGGCGAGAAUCAGUUGAACAAAACAAACCGAUAAAACCGGAGGAGCCUGUAGUAGGCGUAGCCACUGCGCUGGUGGUGGUGUGGCGUGUGUAGAAGAUCGAGAAGAACAACAAAAUCAAAAAAGAAAACUGGUCAACUUAAUCAAAGAGCGGAGAAUCCAGAAGAUUUGCUGCUCACAGAUCUCCAAAGAGCACGACAUUUUCAGAGAAAUGCAGUCUUACAUCGACGAAGAGACGCAAAGAGCAGCAAAGAGACGGAGCGACCGACCAGUGUUGCCGUGCAGCAGGUGG